CACGAACUGCGCGAACGUUAUUCGGAAUCACUGGGCUUAAAGAGUUCGUAGGCGGCUUGGUCAGUCAGAUGUGAAAUCCCACAGCCCAACUGUGGAACUGCGUUUGAUACUGCCAAGCUUGAGGGAGUUAGAGGAAAGCGGAACUGAUGGUGGAGCGGUGAAAUGCGUUGAUAUCAUCAGGAACACCGGUGGCGAAAGCGGCUUUCUGGAGCUCUUCUGACGCUGAGGAACGAAAGCUAGGGGAGCGAACGGG
Molecule: ribosomal RNA, 253 nt
Filed under: uncultured bacterium
Lineage: Bacteria
Description: partial 16S ribosomal RNA
Rfam family: Bacterial small subunit ribosomal RNA
Source: RNAcentral